GCCCGGCAAGGUGGCACGUGCCUGCAGUCCCAGCUACUUGGGAGGCUGAGGUGGGAGGAUCGCUUGAGCCCAGGAGUUCUGGGCUGUAGUGUGCUAUGCCAAUCGGGUGUCCACACUAAGUUCAGCAUCAAUAUGGUGACCUCCCGGGAGUAGGGGACCACCAGAUUGCCUAAGGAGGGGUGAACCGGCCCAGGUCAGAAAUGGAGCAGGUCAAAACUCCCGUGCUGAUCAGUAGUGGCUUCACACCUGUGAAUAGCCACUGCACUCCAGCCUGGGCAACAUAGCGAGAUCCCGUCUCU
RNAcentral lists this signal recognition particle RNA (299 nucleotides) under Saimiri boliviensis boliviensis (Bolivian squirrel monkey). Its description in RNAcentral is "Metazoan signal recognition particle RNA (ENSSBOG00000004803.1)". It matches the Rfam family "Metazoan signal recognition particle RNA". From Rfam's summary of the family: The signal recognition particle (SRP) is a universally conserved ribonucleoprotein. It is involved in the co-translational targeting of proteins to membranes. Lineage: Eukaryota; Metazoa; Chordata; Mammalia; Primates; Cebidae. The record is from RNAcentral.